RNAcentral lists this ribosomal RNA (332 nucleotides) under uncultured eukaryote. Its description in RNAcentral is "partial 18S ribosomal RNA". It matches the Rfam family "Eukaryotic small subunit ribosomal RNA", at positions 1470 to 1796 of the family's 1831-position model. The record is from RNAcentral.
CCCUUAGAUGUUCUGGGCCGCACGCGCGCUACACUGAUGCAUUCAACGAGUAAUCUUUGACCUUGGUCGACAGAUCUGGGUAAUCUUUUGAAAUUGCAUCGUGAUGGGGCUUGCGGGUUGCAAUUACCCGCACCAACGAGGAAUUCCUAGUAAACGCAAGUCAUCAACUUGCAUUGAUUACGUCCCUGCCCUUUGUACACACCGCCCGUCGCUCCUACCGAUUGAGCGGUCCGGUGAAGACUCAGGAGAUGGGCGCGUGCUUGGUUCGCCAACUGCACUGCCUGCCAAAUUUGUCUAAACCUUAUCGCUUAGAGGAAGGAGAAGUCGUAACA